Molecule: long non-coding RNA, 2835 nt
Organism: Loxodonta africana (African savanna elephant)
Lineage: Eukaryota; Metazoa; Chordata; Mammalia; Proboscidea; Elephantidae
Exons: 3
Source: RefSeq, a predicted model, not a curated record
CUCGCGUUUCUCGGAGAGGUGCGGCGCUUGCGUGGUGACGGGCGUGGCUGCCUCCACCCGGGUCUAGCCUGCCUCUUGGAGAUUUUCUUUGCCUUGCUUUUCUGCUUUGGCGUUUACCCCUCUCACUCAGGGGUACCGCAGUUUGGAGCAUCUGGGAGGUUUAUUCAACUGUAGGCCAGCCCCCAGUUAAGUUCCUGGCGCUUUUGGACCUGAUUUUGUGACAGAUUGUUGGAAAAAGAAUUGUCAAAACUGAUAAUCGAUUUUGGAAGAAGUUGUAAGUCACACUGAAGGUACAGCAUAAACUGGAAAACAAGAUUUUGAUCCCUAAAAUGCCAAAGUGGCAGAGUGAUUUAUUAAACUUCUUAUCUGAAGAAGGUGAAAACAGACACAGAAAAUAAUGACAGGAAUGAAAAUUAUGGGGCAUCUAAGCUAAUGGAAACAAAUUUCAAAAUUGUUAAAUGGCCAAUCCUUGAAAAAAAUCAAGUUCAUCAGAGGAAGAAGUAGGUAAUCUUGUGCUUCCGGGUUAUUAGAAAGAAAAACACACAUUUACAUUUACAGAACAGAACAAAUGGCUUGAAAUAAAAAAAUGUAAAUUGGGAUGUAAAGACUGUUUGAUAGUUCAGCAUUUAGGAGUGACAGCAGAAAAAGCACACUGGUGUGUCCAAGUAAUGGAGAACAUAUUUAGUAGCCCCAAAUGACACUAAUGAAACUACUAGGCAGACUUCUCUGUGAAAAAAAAAAAUUAGAGAACAUAAUGUUUCUUAAGACUGUACUAAAAAUAAAGAUUUGUUAGAAAAAUCAACUAGCGACUCAAUUUACAAGUUAGUGUAUAAUCUAAAUAAUAAAAAUAUCGAUGCUAUCAUAAAAGGUUUUUUUAGGUGUUUAAUAUGCAGUUUGCAAAUCAGGGUAACAUUUUAACUAGGGAGUCAGAAUAAUUCAAAGAAAAAAAAUCUUUUACAGAUGCUUAUACUCCAGUUUAUUGCAAGUAAUUAUACAUUGCCAUGGAAACCAGGUCAGAACAAUGUUUACAUAAUAACCCAUGGACACGCAACAUUAUCUUGAAAAACCAUUCGGGUAAUUACUGGUUUACCCUAACACACAGCUCUAGUUUGAGCUUUGGAGUUUCUGUUGUUGAAGCUGCACAUAGAUAAUUCUUCAAAAGAGCACAAUACCCCAGGCAAAACAUUCUUUUACUGAUUAACCUAGGCUAUUGUUUGACUUAAGCCAGUUUUCUCAAGGCUCAAGGUUCAAAGAUUAUUUCAGGAGGAUAGCUAGGGCGGGUCACCUCAACCUCCAUGGAACCCAGAAAUCUGGAUUCUGUGAGAAUUAAAAACUUAAUUCUUCAGUUUCCACCUUUUAGUCAGGAUUCUGCUAUAGAAUGUUUGAUCAAAAAUGUUCAGUAAUGGUAGCUGAGCACCAUCCAGCUCUCUUCAGGUCUCCUGGCAAAGGUGACAGUUGUUAAUGAAGACAAUCAGACUUGGAGUCUAGUUCCUUCUCCACCUGGCUGUCCCAUUUCUCUGCUGCUCCAGAUGAAUAGACCCCAAUUGUUGCACCUUGGAUGGCUGCUUACAAACUUUUAAGACCCCAGACAGUACACAGUGAACUAGGAGGUAGAACAGAAACACUAAGAACAGUAUUAGGCCAAUUGAAUGAAAUGCCCCAAGAAACCAUGACCCUAAACCUUUCAACCAAGAAAACAAAUCCCAUGAGGUGUUGGUUAUACAUAAGUAGCAUCAGUAACUGCUUUUCAUAUCAUAAAAGUUUUUAGUACUGUUUAUAGUUUUUUUUUUAUAGUUUAGUAAAAUAUAAUAGUGAUAGUGAGGGGGACAAUGGUGUUAAAAGAGAAAAAUGGAGUAAAUAUAGGUAAUGAUUUAUAUACGUGAUACAAAUAACAGCACAUAUUACAAAAGAAAUUAAUAUGAAGAUAUUUAAGAGUAUUAUAGAAGAGAAUACCAAACUCUGUGUCAUAAUUGAUGAAACAUCUAUACUUUUGAGGAAAAGCAUAUAGGAAUUUAUCUCCAGUGCACAGUUCAAUCUGCUUCUGUACUGGUAAUGGUAUUUGUUCUUCUAAAAAAAUCUCGGUGUCAGCUACAACAGAAUGUAUUUCCAUUACUUCAUUGUCUACUUUCAAUGAUCGUGGCUUUACUAAUGAAUAUUCAAAAGCGUUUUGUUCAAAUCAUGCUUCUACAGUACUGGGAAGGAAGUCUGAAGUAGCUACAAAAUUGUUAGAAAAUUUUCCUAAGGUCAUCAUUUGGCACAGUUUAAAUUAUUGAUUGCAGUUCAAUGUCUGAAAUAAGUCAUUCAUUUAAAAAUAUUCCAGAUAAAAUGUAUUCUAUUUACCACCAAUCUAAUAAAAAUAAAACUGAAUGGAUACCACCUCACCCCUAUUAGAAUGGCAAUGAUUUAAAAAGAAUGGAAAACAGUGGGGGUUGGUGAGGUUGUGGAGAAACUGGAACCCUCAUCCAUUGCCAGUGGGAAUGUGAAAUGGUACAGCCACCGUAGAAAACAGUUUGGCAGUUCCUCAAAAAAUUGAACAUAGAAGUACUACCAUAUGACCCAGUGUUUUAGUUUCUUAGUGCUGCUGUAACAGAAAUACAAGUGGGUGGCUUUAUGCACAGAAACUUAUUUCAUCGCAGUUUAGAAGGCUAGAAGUCCAAAUUCAGGGCGCCGGCUCUAAAGGAAGUCUCCCCGUCCUGGGAAAAAAUAAUUUUCUCUUUCAGCUUUUCUUCCUCAGUUCCUUGGUGAUCUCUACGUGGCACUUGUGCUUGCUUGCUUCUGUGCUUAAUUUGCUCCUUUUAUAUCUCAAGAGUGAUUGGCUUAAAACACCCCAAUGCU